UCUGCUGGCCACCGUAGUGAUUAGGAAUUGCACUAUUCUAGUUUUGUUAUAUGCCGGCCACCGUAGUUAGGAAGUUCGAGGUUGUUCCUGACUGUAAUGACACACGUUCGGAAAAUAGAUGCAUUCUGGGAAGUGAUGUGUUUCAAUGUAGGCUACUCGUGUUUCCUUCACUCAGACAUGUGUGCUGAUUCUUUUCCAAUUUUGAGCAAGGAUAUAAAAUAUGAAGACUGUACUUUUUCAUUAAGAUUGAUAUUUUUGCACAAUGUGUUGUGCUACGCGUAACGCGUCAUUGUAUGCGACGGUCUAAGGAGCAGUCCUAUGCGUCCACCCACCAUGCGUCCACCUGUCCACCACUGUAAGUAGAACAGUCAAACAAGCAAGGGAAAUUAGGCAUUUAGACGUCCACAAUGAUGAAGUUAUGGCAAAAAAAAAAACAGAACAAAACAAAUUGUCGUUGUUGACUCCGAACGCCACUGUAAACUGUAGCGGUUUAAUUUACAUCAAUGCAAAUAAAUGCAAAGUAGCUUGCUCUGCUAGCUAGCUCGAUUAGCUAACUCGCCCCUAUUGAUUUGGAGGUGUACUUUUGGCAUUGCCAGAUACCGUGUAUGUUUAUGAAUGGAUUUGAACUGAGUAUUUUGUAUUUGGAGAUUAUUUUUCUUUCAGAAACAAGUUGCAAGGUCAGAUGUGUUGUCCUCCUACCCCCAACUUCCGGUCCUAGUCCCAGUAGGCCCUUGUUGGUCUACCUGUGAGAGUACCUGAGCUACAUCUCUGAAGUCUCACGGUAAAAUGCUGGAAUACCUGAGCUACUUCCCUGAAGGUGAACACUCGUACAGAGACGCUACGGAGUACUACGCAGAGGCAUGGAGGUACAGUUACAAGGUCAACCCCAGCAUAGAUGAGUACGGACUACACCCAAGCAGAGUCCCGCCGUAAAAUGCUGGAGUACCUGAGCUACUUCCCUGAAGGUGAACACUCGUACAGAGACGCUACGGAGUACUACGUAGAGGCAUGGAGGUACAGUUACAAGGUCAGAGUCGUUUCACUGGACGCCGUCGGACUCGACUUUCCAUUGACCCAGUUCUGCUGUAAAACACUGUAAUACCUGAGCUAAAUCUCUUAAAUUGAACGCUCAUACAGAGACGAUACUGAGUACUACGCAGAGGCUUGGAGGUACAGCUACAAGAGUACUGAAUUGAUGAGUACUGAAUCUACACAAGCAUAGUCCUGCUGGAAAAUGCUGGAGUAGCCUACCUGAGCUACAGUUCUGAAGUCCUGCUGUAAAACACUGGAGCACCUGAGCUACUUAAAGUGAACACUCGUACAGAGACGCUACUGAGUACCACGCAGAGGCUUGAAGGUAUUUGCUCCUGAUGUCCUGACCAGUACACAUACAGAAAGAAGUGUUCCACUACCAGUUUCCAUUCAUCUGUGGGUCUCCUGACAUUGGGAGAGCGAGGAUUUCAAUGUCUGACUGCUCUUGAGUUAACAUAAUCAUCAUGCAGUCCUUGGAGAACGUCGGGGUGUGUGUGUGUGUGUGUGUGUGUGUGUGUGUGUGUGUGUGUGUGUGUGUGUGUGUGUGUGUGUGUGUGUGUGUGUGUGUGUGUGUGUCUGUGUGUCUGUGUGUCUGUGUGUCUGUGUGUCUGUGUGUCUGUGUGUCUGUGUGUCUGUGUGUCUGUGUGUCUGUGUGUCUGUGUGUCUGUCUGUCUGUCUGUCUGUCUGUCUGUCUGUCUGUCUGUCUGUGUGUCUGUGGGGGUUAUCCAGGAGCUAGGUCACAUCCUGUGCAUCCUCACAUCCUGUGGUUUACUGCAAUGGGUAGUUACAUCCCACACCCAUGGUAACUGAUGAAAUACACAUCAUGCGUUCCACGCGCAAACAGCUGUUUGCAGGAAUAUGCUAUUGGCUUGAGCAAUACUAUUUGUACACUUAGACUGAACAUUCCAGAAUCACACCCAACAUGAUGCCAUCCUGAGUGCUUAUCAUUGUUUUUGCACUUAAAAAUUAGUUUCUUUAAAUCAUACUGGAAAUUGUUACCAGAUACAUUUUUGAUCUUAUUAUAUUUAUUGACUUAAGAUAUUGUGUUGUGAUUUAUUUGUAUUGAUGGGCCUUGAGUACUUGGUCUUAUUUCCCUUUCCAUGUAUCAGUGUACAAGGCACAAUAAAACCUCUUUAAAGGAG
This is a long non-coding RNA of Sardina pilchardus (European sardine), 2174 nucleotides long. RefSeq lists it as uncharacterized. The record is from RefSeq and is a predicted model, not a curated record. Lineage: Eukaryota; Metazoa; Chordata; Actinopteri; Clupeiformes; Clupeidae. The transcript is spliced from 9 exons.